Molecule: ribosomal RNA, 1686 nt
Filed under: Triticum aestivum (bread wheat)
Lineage: Eukaryota; Viridiplantae; Streptophyta; Magnoliopsida; Poales; Poaceae
Description: partial small subunit ribosomal RNA
Rfam family: MIR1120/MIR1122 microRNA precursor family (bases 558-681)
Source: RNAcentral
AAUUAAGAAGAGAGAGACAUCAAAGAUGGAGCUGUGUUUAGCUUCUCGCUCAUCAGAGACCUUACCCGGCAGAGCUGCUUGAGGGGCUUGCUGCCAUGCGGUUUUGCUCAAAAUAGCUAGAGCACACACGUGAUAGGUGGAAAUCUCUUGCUUCUUGGCUUGAUUUGGUUCAGUUUUUAUUACUGAUUUGGUUUGUUUGCAGGGUCGCUUUGGUUUACAGGGAGGAGAGGCUGAGGCUGAUGCUUCUAGAGUUGGUGUACGUUGCGUAGAGAGAGAGAGUUUCGGUGGAGCAAAGCAGAAAGGAGUUCAGUGCGAAGGAGAAUAGGAGGGAGGAGAGAUCUGGACGCACCAAGACAAACAAGCGAGCUGAUCAUGCCGCCAACCUUGUUCUGUGCGGCUCGCUGGAGCCAGACGAUGAGUCCUUGCCUGCCUCUGGCCCUCCUAACAAUUGCUGUGAACCCUGUUAUGCGCCCUUGGCUGAUCAGCCAAUCUUACUAUACCUUUCCCCCUCCCGGGUCAUCAUGCUCAGGCCCUAGCUUGCAUCUUGUGAGUUUUAAUUAAUACUCCCUCCGUCCGGAAAUACUUGUCCUCGAAAUGGUUGUAUCUAGACUUAUUUUAGUUAUAGAUACAUCCAUUUUAUCCAUUUGUAGGACAAGUAUUUCCGGACGGAGGGAGUACAACAAAAUAUCGCACGUACUUUUGUUAGUUUACUUCACUUUUGCUAGCUUGUUGAUACUUUGCACAAAAUUGCUAGAGAAAUAGGCACAUCAAUUAAAUGAUUAUACAUAUAAGUCGAUGGUGGUAUUUUUUCAGAAAAAUUACAUGCAUUUCUAUGAUUCUCCAUUUUCCAGAUUCUUCCUGCAUUUAUGUGAUUAAUUGAAAUACCAUUCUAAAUGCAUUUGCUUACUAGGAUAAUUUAAAUUUCUGGAUAAAAUUUCACUGUAGUAUAUCUUUUGUCAAUAAAUAUAUGUUUUGCGUUUCAUGCUGUGCGGCAUAUUUUUCUUACAAACUAUUAUGUUACUGAAAAAAGUUGUUCAGGUAAUGAUGGUAUCUCACGUAGUGGUUAAUGGUGAUUUUUUAUUUCACCAUUUGUUCUUCCUCGAGUACCUGUUCUUUUUUUCACUCUGUUGUAAGUUGACGAUAUGCCCCUUUUGUGUGACACUUUUUCUUUCCUAUACAGGAAGGACUUGGCGCAGUUGUGACGUUAAUGAACAACACUCCAAUCAGGGACCACAGUGACCUCGGGGAGGAGAUCAAGAGAAUCAACAACCCUUGGUGGUUUUCCUCAUCAUCGGCACAACUGCAAUCAGCAACAAUGAUGACCAGCUCACAAGGCAGCUACUGAACCGUUCGAGCCUUGUUGCAAAGACAACAUGGAGACCGAGAGUGAUCCAGAGAGAGGGGGGAGACCGGGAGAGGGAGGAAGAGUGUUCGAGAGAGGGAAUGAGGGAGAGUGAGGAGGAAGAAACCUUGCAAGUACACAUUGGUAGGACAACCAUAUUCUAAAAUAAAAAAUGGGAUUUGGUGGCAAGCCAUCAUUGUCUUUGUUCCCGGUGUCUGUCACACACGAUAACUUUAAUGUCGAAUGCAUAAUGGAUGCAUUCUUAAAUUAUUUGAUUAUAGAAUUUUUAGCUCUUGAUAUUCACAUAUCAUUCUGAGAAACAUUUUUGGUUGAGAGAAGAAAAC